CUUGGAUUGAAGGGAGCUCCC
This 21-nucleotide microRNA is filed under the name Pinus taeda (loblolly pine). RNAcentral's name for it is "pta-miR159c". Its record names the gene pta-miR159c. Lineage: Eukaryota; Viridiplantae; Streptophyta; Pinopsida; Pinales; Pinaceae. RNAcentral also lists the same sequence under 2 other names. The record is from miRBase by way of RNAcentral.